Long non-coding RNA from Hylaeus volcanicus, 858 nucleotides. RefSeq lists it as uncharacterized. NCBI's taxonomy places the organism in Eukaryota, Metazoa, Arthropoda, Insecta, Hymenoptera, Colletidae. The record is from RefSeq and is a predicted model, not a curated record. The transcript has 3 exons.
CAAUUAUCGACACAGCCAAUGUUUACCUGUGCAUCCAAGGGACACUACAGCAACAGCGACUAAAUUAAUCGUAUACGAAGUGGUAACGGCGAAGAAUUCCCACCAGAUCUCGCAUAUCACGACAAAGUUUAAGUUCUCACCAAAUGUUAUCCGCGUGUUUAAGGAUAGCGUUUCAACCAAGAUGUUAUUUGCAAAAACUGCAAAGAAGGCCAUGGUAAUGUAAACUACCGACAUAUCAAAUAUUACGGUAGUUCCAGGAUAUCUCGCUUGGAAAUAGUCCACCGCUAUGAUGAAGCUGUCAGAGGUGAAUAUCGACGUUAAAGCAUUUUGAAAAUGUUUGAAUGUAAGUAUACAAACGGCAAAUUACGAAAACAAAACAUACAGCAAAUACAAACAAAACGAAACAUAUAAUAGACGUAUUAUAUAAACAGAACUACCGUGGAUAUUAUCACGAUUAUGCUUAUCUAAGUAUCUUGACAACCUUUGAAUUUUACAGUGAACAAUCAGCGCUUACUAUGGAUAAUUAAGCAAACAAUGAUCAAUAAACAUAAAUGCAUGCCAUCAACAUAAGAAUAUAUUGUUACUCGUGUUUUAUUUUCCAAAUAAAAACAUGUAUCCUAGGAAAACAAAUCAUACACCAAAUACAAACAAAAACAAACAUAUAACAGAACUAUCGUAGAUGGUAUCACGAUUAUACCGAUUAUAUAUGUACUAUUGUUCAUAUUAUCAUGCAGAAAACUGAUUACACGGGACAACGCUGGUUCUACUGGUUCUCAAGACAAAAACGUAAAUUACAGGAACAACAAAGGUCUUUGACAUUCGAUUGCCGACACACGGGGUAAGAUAGUGUCUUAUUGC